RNAcentral lists this ribosomal RNA (465 nucleotides) under Vreelandella stevensii. Its description in RNAcentral is "partial 16S ribosomal RNA". It matches the Rfam family "Bacterial small subunit ribosomal RNA", at positions 338 to 795 of the family's 1533-position model. Lineage: Bacteria; Pseudomonadati; Pseudomonadota; Gammaproteobacteria; Oceanospirillales; Halomonadaceae. The record is from RNAcentral.
CCUACGGGCGGCUGCAGUGGGGAAUAUUGGACAAUGGGGGCAACCCUGAUCCAGCCAUGCCGCGUGUGUGAAGAAGGCCCUCGGGUUGUAAAGCACUUUCAGUGAGGAAGAACGCCUGGUGGUUAAUACCCAUCAGGAAAGACAUCACUCACAGAAGAAGCACCGGCUAACUCCGUGCCAGCAGCCGCGGUAAUACGGAGGGUGCGAGCGUUAAUCGGAAUUACUGGGCGUAAAGCGCGCGUAGGUGGCUUGAUAAGCCGGUUGUGAAAGCCCCGGGCUCAACCUGGGAACGGCAUCCGGAACUGUCAAGCUAGAGUGCAGGAGAGGAAGGUAGAAUUCCCGGUGUAGCGGCGAAAUGCGUAGAGAUCGGGAGGAAUACCAGUGGCGAAGGCGGCCUUCUGGACUGACACUGACACUGAGGUGCGAAAGCGUGGGUAGCAAACAGGAUUAGAUACCCGGGUAGUC